GAAUUACUCCCUUCAUCCGAAAAUACUUGUCAUCAAAAUGUAUAAAAAGAGAUGUAUCUAGAACUAAAAUAUGUCUAGAUACAUCCCUUCUAUCCAUUUUGAUAACGAGUAUUUCUGGACGAAGGAAGUAUAAA
Non-coding RNA from Triticum urartu, 134 nucleotides. NCBI's taxonomy places the organism in Eukaryota, Viridiplantae, Streptophyta, Magnoliopsida, Poales, Poaceae. The record is from Rfam.